Molecule: ribosomal RNA, 392 nt
Filed under: uncultured bacterium
Lineage: Bacteria
Description: partial 16S ribosomal RNA
Rfam family: Bacterial small subunit ribosomal RNA
Source: RNAcentral
AUACGGAGGAUCCGAGCGUUAUCCGGAUUUAUUGGGUUUAAAGGGUGCGCAGGCGGCCAUUUAAGUCAGCGGUUAAAUCGUGGGGCUCAACCCCAUUCUGCCGUUGAUACUGGCUGUCUUGAGUACAGUAGAGGUGGGCGGAAUUCGUGGUGUAGCGGUGAAAUGCUUAGAUAUCACGAAGAACUCCGAUUGCGAAGGCAGCUCACUGGACUGCAACUGACACUGAUGCUCGAAAGUGUGGGUAUCAAACAGGAUUAGAUACCCUGGUAGUCCGCACAGUAAACGAUGAAUACUCGCUGUUUGCGAUACACUGUAAGCGGCCAAGCGAAAGCGUUAAGUAUUCCACCUGGGGAGUACGCCGGCAACGGAAAAACUCAAAGGAAUUGACGGGG